Transfer RNA from Plasmodiophora brassicae, 81 nucleotides. It matches the Rfam family "tRNA". From Rfam's summary of the family: Transfer RNA (tRNA) molecules are approximately 80 nucleotides in length. The record is from Rfam. NCBI's taxonomy places the organism in Eukaryota, Endomyxa, Phytomyxea, Plasmodiophorida, Plasmodiophoridae.
GGCUUGUUGACCGAGUGGUUAAGGUGAACGAUUAGAAAUCGUUUGGGCUUGCCCGCGCAGGUUCGAAUCCUGCACAAGCCU